UGGGGAAUUGUUCGCAAUGGGCGCAAGCCUGACGACGCAACGCCGCGUGGAGGAUGAAGGUCUUCGGAUUGUAAACUCCUGUUGCCCGGGACGAAAAGCUCUGACCUAACACGUUAGAGUCUGACGGUACCGGGUGAGGAAGCCCCGGCUAACUCUGUGCCAGCAGCCGCGGUAAUACAGAGGGGGCAAGCGUUGUUCGGAUUUAUUGGGCGUAAAGAGCUCGUAGGCGGUUGCGUAAGUCGGAUGUAGAAAACUCAGGGCUCAACCCUGAGACGCCAUCCGAUACUGCGCUGACUUGAAUCCAGUAGGGGAGUGCGGAAUUCCUGGUGUAGCGGUGAAAUGCGCAGAUAUCAGGAGGAACACCCAUGGCGAAGGCAGCACUCUGGGCUGGUAUUGACGCUGAGGAGCGAAAGCAUGGGUAGCGAACAGGAUUAGAUACCCAAGUAGUCCCUGAGCGGGCUGGCAAGGCGCAU
Molecule: ribosomal RNA, 473 nt
Filed under: uncultured bacterium
Lineage: Bacteria
Description: bacterial SSU rRNA
Rfam family: Bacterial small subunit ribosomal RNA
Source: RNAcentral